CGAGCGAACAGACGAGGAGCUUGCUCCUCUGACGUUAGCGGCGGACGGGUGAGUAACACGUGGAUAACCUACCUAUAAGACUGGGAUAACUUCGGGAAACCGGAGCUAAUACCGGAUAAUAUAUUGAGCCGCAUGGUUCAAUAGUGAAAGACGGUUUUGCUGUCACUUAUAGAUGGAUCCGCGCCGCAUUAGCUAGUUGGUAAGGUAACGGCUUACCAAGGCAACGAUGCGUAGCCGACCUGAGAGGGCGAUCGGCCACACUGGAACUGAGACACGGUCCAGACUCCUACGGGAGGCAGCAGUAGGGAAUCUUCCGCAAUGGGCGAAAGCCUGACGGAGCAACGCCGCGUGAGUGAUGAAGGUCUUCGGAUCGUAAAACUCUGUUAUUAGGGAAGAACAAAUGUGUAAGUAACUAUGCACGUCUUGACGGUACCUAAUCAGAAAGCCACGGCUAACUACGUGCCAGCAGCCGCGGUAAUACGUAGGUGGCAAGCGUUAUCCGGAAUUAUUGGGCGUAAAGCGCGCGUAGGCGGUUUUUUAAGUCUGAUGUGAAAGCCCACGGCUCAACCGUGGAGGGUCAUUGGAAACUGGAAAACUUGAGUGCAGAAGAGGAAAGUGGAAUUCCAUGUGUAGCGGUGAAAUGCGCAGAGAUAUGGAGGAACACCAGUGGCGAAGGCGACUUUCUGGUCUGUAACUGACGCUGAUGUGCGAAAGCGUGGGGAUCAAACAGGAUUA
RNAcentral lists this ribosomal RNA (735 nucleotides) under uncultured Staphylococcus sp. RNAcentral's name for it is "bacterial SSU rRNA". It matches the Rfam family "Bacterial small subunit ribosomal RNA", at positions 63 to 780 of the family's 1533-position model. Lineage: Bacteria; Bacillati; Bacillota; Bacilli; Caryophanales; Staphylococcaceae. The record is from RNAcentral.